Harpia harpyja (harpy eagle) is the source of this 696-nucleotide long non-coding RNA. RefSeq lists it as uncharacterized. The record is from RefSeq and is a predicted model, not a curated record. The transcript has 2 exons. NCBI's taxonomy places the organism in Eukaryota, Metazoa, Chordata, Aves, Accipitriformes, Accipitridae.
CACAACCCGUGAUGCAGGAAGGCAGUUUUUCCCCGAGACUAAAAGAGGAUUUAAAAUAAAUAAAUAGACGCGUCCGGAGAUCCUGCUCCGUCGCCCCAGUGUUCAGACUACCUGUUCAGGACAAUGCUGUUGUACAGUAGUCUGCACAUUGGUUAGACUGGGCAAGGGAAAGCAGCGGCAUGGACUAUUGGGGACGCAAGUUGCUAUUGCCAAGGAGAAGACAGUUAUUGCUCCUUUCAGAUCUCAUAUACAGUAUUUUUCUUCACAGGUUUUGCACACUAGGGAAUAAGAAACGCUAAGGGACACUGUGAAAAAGGAGGACUUCAGAAUAAAGCGGGGAAGACAUUCUGCCCCCCAAACCGGAAUGGUACAAAGUGUUGCACACCAGCGGUGAUGGCUCCAAGGGACUGGCUGGACGGAGUUGUCAUGUGUCUGCCUGUCUACACUUGCUGUGCAGAACAUCCUCUCACCUGUACAGCAGGCACAGACAGGCAGUCGCAUGACAACCCAGCCUGAGGGACAGCCGCCAGUGGGAAACCGCUCUGACACACCAGAGCAUCUUCACCAACAGCUCCAGCCAAGAGUCACUCUGGAUCUCAGACGGCCGGUCAGUAACCAAGCCGCGUACUGCAACUCACCUAGAGUCAAACCAACACUGCCUAUAAAAUACAAUAAAACCCACUGCUGAAAUUUUCA